CCUUGGGGGCGGCACUUACCUGACAGUACAGCUAUGACUAUCCUCCUCCCUUCCCCGUCCUGACGUCCCGACGGUUGACAAUCGGGGGGGAUCGCACGGGUAUAGGUUUAUGAAUUCUCCGACUCCCUAACCAAGCUCACGGAUCAAUUUGAAGCGCAGGGAGGGAGAUAUAAGGCUAGGGCAGGCAAUAAGACGGACGUGCACUUGAAGGGGAUGAGGCUAUGUGGUUAUAGAUCUUGGUAGGGAUGGGUGAGAGGCCCACACCAAGGAAGGUAUUUGGCCCGCGGGCAGGAGGUCGGUUGCGCCUUCAUGGGG
Molecule: non-coding RNA, 315 nt
Organism: Pelobates cultripes (western spadefoot toad)
Lineage: Eukaryota; Metazoa; Chordata; Amphibia; Anura; Pelobatidae
Source: the annotation of a GenBank genome assembly